Molecule: ribosomal RNA, 484 nt
Filed under: uncultured bacterium
Lineage: Bacteria
Description: partial 16S ribosomal RNA
Rfam family: Bacterial small subunit ribosomal RNA
Source: RNAcentral
AGUGAACGCUGGCGGCGUGCUUAACACAUGCAAGUCGAACGAGAACGGGCUAUAGCUUGCUAUAGUUGUCAGCUAAGUGGCGCACGGGCGAGUAAUGUAUAGGUAAUAUGCCUCUUACUAAGGGAUAACAAAUGGAAACGUUUGCUAAUACCUUAUACUCCUUAUUAACAGAAGUUAAUAAGGGAAAGAUUUAUUGGUAAGAGAUUAGCCUGUAUUGUAUCAGUUAGUUGGUGGGGUAAUGGCUUACCAAGACUAUGACACAUAACUGGUUUGAGAGGAUGAUCAGUCACACUGGAACUGAGACACGGUCCAGACUCCUACGGGAGGCAGCAGUGGGGAAUAUUGCACAAUGGACGAAAGUCUGAUGCAGCAACGCCGCGUGGAGGAUGACACAUUUCGGUGCGUAAACUCCUUUUAUAUGAGAAGAUAAUGACGGUAUUAUAUGAAUAAGCACCGGCUAACUUCGUGCCAGCCGCCGCGGUAA